UCUGUAACGACUAGGGCGCAGCCUGAUCAGCCAUGCCGCGUGAGUGAUGAAGGCCUUAGGGUUGUAAAGCUCUUUCACCGAUGAAGAUAAUGACGGUAGUCGGAGAAGAAGCCCCGGCUAACUUCGUGCCAGCAGCCGCGGUAAU
Molecule: ribosomal RNA, 145 nt
Filed under: uncultured Agrobacterium sp.
Lineage: Bacteria; Pseudomonadati; Pseudomonadota; Alphaproteobacteria; Hyphomicrobiales; Rhizobiaceae
Description: partial 16S ribosomal RNA
Rfam family: Bacterial small subunit ribosomal RNA
Source: RNAcentral